GAGGAAGAGCACUUCAUCUUCUGAUCAGCUCAGCAAAAGCUUCACUACCAGCCAAGACAUAACUGAUUCCAACUGAAAUGCUGCAGAAAAACAGAAAAAUAAAUGAAAGGAGAAGACUGUGCAUAAUUACAAGGAGCUGGACCUGCAAACCUCAAGCAGCUAUCUUGGAUCAAGGUGAUGAUGACUGCAGCAUGUUGUCGAUUCACCCUCUCUGGUGCAACUCUUAAAAGUUUUGGUGCAUUUUGCCACAUGG
Molecule: long non-coding RNA, 253 nt
Organism: Carcharodon carcharias (great white shark)
Lineage: Eukaryota; Metazoa; Chordata; Chondrichthyes; Lamniformes; Lamnidae
Exons: 3
Source: RefSeq, a predicted model, not a curated record